CACUCCAGCUCCUCCAUCGUCGUCCAGCCCACCUACCUGUGCUUCCUGCCCUAUCUGGCACGCCCACCUCACCUGCCCAGCGCCAUAUCGGCAUCGUCGUCGAUCUCUGCGACGCCUUCAUCGGUGACGCUUUUUAAAUCCUCUUUUGAUCCAAUCUGCGGUGGUGGUUUUGGGUUGAAUUCGAUGGUUUUGGUGGUGAUGUUGAUUUGUUUUUGAUGGUUUUGUUUUGUUGGGUUUUUACUGACACUUGUGCUUACUUAUAUGAAGGGGAUGGUCACUGUAUAUUGAUAUAUUACCCUAGCUCAACUGGUGGAGGAAUGAAGGAGCUGUUUAGGAAGGUUGGUAACCGAUCUAGCGAGUUCCAUCCGGAAGUUAGAAGAGUGAGACAAGAAGGCUCAUAUAUAUAGGAAGAAUUUAUGCCAACUGGAGGAACAUAUGUCAAGGUUUAUGAUGAUGAUGCUUGCUUAGGAAGAUAUUUCUAGAUGCUAAAGCUCCUCACCUUUCUUCUGUGAUUCCACCAACUUUGCCUUGGAAAACCAAUGAGCCAAGCCAACCUUAAUUCUGAGUGGCUAACUCACCAAUGAAGUGGAAUUAUUAGGACGUUUGGGCAGGCUGAGGAACUACGUUGUGUGAUUGCCAUUGUUUGUCUAUACAUAUUCCUCUCAGUUUUUUGACCUGUUAUAGUUGAACUUCCUGUUUUCCCUUAAUAUAUAUGUUUUGCUUUGACACUGGUGAUAGAACUCCCAAAUAGAAAGUACAAUGGGGGCCGGCCUAGAUCUGAGACGAAAGUGAAAAGUGCUAUCCAAUUGCAAGAUUUGUUGGAUGCCACACAGAUGUUGGUACCUCGUUCUAGACCAUAUCGAGAAAGUGAUAGUGAGGCAGGAGACAUUGAGCAUGCUGAAAAGCUUCGUCAAGUUAAAGCAGUGCUCGAGGAGG
Long non-coding RNA from Argentina anserina (silverweed cinquefoil), 936 nucleotides. RefSeq lists it as uncharacterized. The transcript is spliced from 6 exons. The record is from RefSeq and is a predicted model, not a curated record. NCBI's taxonomy places the organism in Eukaryota, Viridiplantae, Streptophyta, Magnoliopsida, Rosales, Rosaceae.